This 279-nucleotide ribosomal RNA is filed under the name uncultured bacterium. RNAcentral's name for it is "partial 16S ribosomal RNA". It matches the Rfam family "Bacterial small subunit ribosomal RNA", at positions 506 to 784 of the family's 1533-position model. The record is from RNAcentral.
UGCCAGCCGCCGCGGUAAUACGGAGGGUGCGUGCGUUAAUCGGAAUUACUGGGCGUAAAGCGCACGCAGGCGGUUUGUUAAGCUAGAUGUGAAAGCCCCGGGCUCAACCUGGGAUGGUCAUUUAGAACUGGCAGACUAGAGUUUUGGAGAGGGGAGUGGAAUUCCAGGUGUAGCGGUGAAAUGCGUAGAUAUCUGGAGGAACAUCAGUGGCGAAGGCGGCUCCCUGGGUCGACGCUGACGCUCAGGCACGAAAGCGUGGGGAGCAAACAGGAUUAGAUA